Long non-coding RNA from Corvus hawaiiensis (hawaiian crow), 634 nucleotides. RefSeq lists it as uncharacterized. The transcript is spliced from 2 exons. The record is from RefSeq and is a predicted model, not a curated record. Lineage: Eukaryota; Metazoa; Chordata; Aves; Passeriformes; Corvidae.
CAGGCGAGCGGGCGGAGCGCUGGGGCCGCGGCCCGAAGGCGCCGGCGCUGCUCCGAGGGCAGCCCUGCCCCUCCCCACAGCCGGGCAGGGCACCGCAGGCUACCUGCGAGGGAGGGCGCGUUGGGACACGCAGCGCGCACGCUGCAGCAGCUGCUGGCCCCCCACGGCUGCGUUUGCCCUUAACUGUUUUCUCCCAGCCGCUACAGUAACUGCGGCCCUGCUCACCCCAGCAUCAGAUGGGUGCCCAUGAAAACCCAUUUCAGUUUCAGCAAAGCGACGUUAAAGACUGUCUCAGUAGCACAUAAAUCUCAACAACACAGACUGCCAUCAGCACAAUGGGAAGCAGUGAAACUGGACUGCAUCCCAGAGCAUCCACGCACCUUUUUCAUAUUGCCACCGAGUAAUGAGUAAGGAGGUUUGUUGAUGUGGCUCCAGUCAACUGGCACACGCGUCAUUUCAUACAAUUGGAAGAUGAUUAAAGCAUCAGAAAGGUCACUAAACCAGAGCAAAACAAUGUUUUUAAGUACAAAAGCUCAGAUUGACAAUGAAAGUAAGUACUUGAGAUUUCUCACAGUGUAAUUAAGUUGCUGAAAAAUUGCAGACUCUUUAAUAAAAAUUUGUGCUGUUAGGUAAA